Molecule: ribosomal RNA, 699 nt
Filed under: uncultured bacterium
Lineage: Bacteria
Description: bacterial SSU rRNA
Rfam family: Bacterial small subunit ribosomal RNA
Source: RNAcentral
AGUCGAGCGGCAGCGCGGGGCAACCUGGCGGCGAGCGGCGGACGGGUGAGUAAUAGAUAGGAACGUAUCCGGGAGUGGGGGAUAACUAGCCGAAAGGUUAGCUAAUACCGCAUAUUCUCUGUGGAGGAAAGCGGGGGACUCCUAAACCGGGGGCAUCAGUGGUUGUGGUGUUUCCGGUUUAGGGGCCUCGCGCUCGCGGAGUGGCCUAUCUCCGAUUAGCUAGUUGGUGAGGUAAAGGCUUACCAAGGCGACGAUCGGUAGCUGGUCUGAGAGGAUGAUCAGCCACACUGGGACUGAGACACGGCCCAGACUCCUACGGGAGGCAGCAGUGGGGAAUUUUGGACAAUGGGGGCAACCCUGAUCCAGCCAUGCCGCGUGCGGGAAGAAGGCCUUCGGGUUGUAAACCGCUUUUAUUUGGGAAGAAGGAGUGCGGGUUAAUACCUUGCAUGACGGACGGUACCGGAUGAAUAAGCACCGGCUAACUACGUGCCAGCAGCCGCGGUAAUACGUAGGGUGCGAGCGUUAAUCGGAAUUACUGGGCGUAAAGCGUGCGCAGGCGGUUCUGAAAGUCAGCUGUGAAAGCCCCGGGCUUAACCUGGGAAUGGCGGUUGAAACUAGAGGACUAGAAUCUGGCAGAGGGGGGUGGAAUUCCACGUGUAGCAGUGAAAUGCGUAGAGAUGUGGAGGAACACCGAUGGCG